This 152-nucleotide ribosomal RNA is filed under the name Sarcodiotheca gaudichaudii. Its description in RNAcentral is "5.8S rRNA". It matches the Rfam family "5.8S ribosomal RNA". Rfam says of the family: 5.8S ribosomal RNA (5.8S rRNA) is a component of the large subunit of the eukaryotic ribosome. It is transcribed by RNA polymerase I as part of the 45S precursor that also contains 18S and 28S rRNA. Lineage: Eukaryota; Rhodophyta; Florideophyceae; Gigartinales; Solieriaceae. The record is from RNAcentral.
ACAACUCAUGACGGUGGAUGUCUUGGUUCCAGCAACGAUGACGAACGCAGCGAAUUGCGAAAAGUAGUACGAACUGCAGAACCCGUGAAUCAUCAAAUUUUUGAACGCAAGUGCGCUCGCGGGUAAUCCUGCGCGAUGUCUGUUUGAGUGUC